This 253-nucleotide ribosomal RNA is filed under the name uncultured bacterium. RNAcentral describes it as "partial 16S ribosomal RNA". It matches the Rfam family "Bacterial small subunit ribosomal RNA", at positions 524 to 776 of the family's 1533-position model. The record is from RNAcentral.
UACGUAGGGUGCGAGCGUUGUCCGGAAUUAUUGGGCGUAAAGGGCUCGUAGGCGGUUUGUCGCGUCGGGAGUGAAAACACCGGGCUUAACUCGGUGCUUGCUUUCGAUACGGGCAGACUAGAGGCAUGCAGGGGAGAACGGAAUUCCUGGUGUAGCGGUGAAAUGCGCAGAUAUCAGGAGGAACACCGGUGGCGAAGGCGGUUCUCUGGGCCGAUACUGACGCUGAGGAGCGAAAGCGUGGGGAGCGAACAGG